UGCCAGAAUCCUAAGGGAGGCAGCAGUGAGGAAUAUUGGUCAAUGGGCGGAAGCCUGAACCAGCCAAGUCGCGUGAGGGAAUAAGGACCUACGGGUCGUAAACCUCUUUUGCCGGGGAGCAAGGGCGGGGACGUGUCCCGGCCCGGAGAGUACCCGGAGAAAAAGCAUCGGCUAACUCCGUGCCAGCAGCCGCGGUAAUACGGAGGAUGCGAGCGUUAUCCGGAUUUAUUGGGUUUAAAGGGUGCGUAGGCGGGCUUUUAAGUCAGCGGUAAAAAGUCGGGGCUCAACCCCGUCCGGCCGUUGAAACUGGGGGCCUUGAGUGGGCGAGAAGAAGGCGGAAUGCGUGGUGUAGCGGUGAAAUGCAUAGAUAUCACGCAGAACUCCGAUUGCGAAGGCAGCAUACCGGCGCUCAACUGACGCUCAUGCACGACAGUGUGGGUAUCGAACAGGAUUAGAUACCCUAGUA
This 466-nucleotide ribosomal RNA is filed under the name uncultured bacterium. Its description in RNAcentral is "bacterial SSU rRNA". It matches the Rfam family "Bacterial small subunit ribosomal RNA", at positions 329 to 792 of the family's 1533-position model. The record is from RNAcentral.